Non-coding RNA from Xyrichtys novacula (pearly razorfish), 137 nucleotides. The record is from the annotation of a GenBank genome assembly. Lineage: Eukaryota; Metazoa; Chordata; Actinopteri; Labriformes; Labridae.
GAGCACUGAAAUACAGAUUUUUAUUUAACAUGUCCUCUUUACUUUAACAUUUUCAUCAUCAGAUUUUAAAGGAUUCUGAUGAUUAAAAAGUUAAAGUAAAGAGGACAUGUUAAAUACAAAUCUGUAUUUCAGUGCUC